GAUUUGGAAACGAAUUCAGUUCGGCCUCUUAGGAUCCUCACAGACACUUGGUGUUCUUCCGGCCAAUUUCUCCCGGACGGUACUCUUCUCCAUACCGGAGGUGAUCUUGAUGGGUUCCGCAAAUUCAGAAAAUUCACUCCUUGUGAAUCUUCUAGCUCGGUUUGUGAUUGGGAAGAACUUCAAAAUGUUCAGCUUUCUCAAGGGAGAUGGUAUUCCACGAAUCAGAUAUUACCCACCGGAGAAAUCAUAAUUGUCGGCGGCCGUGCUGCUAGUAGUGUUGAGUUUUUUCCACCGAGAGAAACCGGAGCGGUUGAAUUCCCUUUCUUAACUCAAGCUGAAGAUAGACAACAUGAUAAUCUUUAUCCUUAUGUUCAUUUGCUACCAAAUGGACAUCUCUUCAUUUUCGCCAACAAUAAAGCCGUCAUGUAUGAUUUUACGGCAAAUAAUAUAGUUAAAGAUUACCCAAUACUCGACGGUGGUCCAAGAAACUACCCAUCAGCAGGAUCAUCAGCUAUGUUGGCCCUAACACAGGAUUAUUCCUCUGCCACCAUUGUUAUUUGUGGUGGAGCUCAAUUUGGGGCUUAUUUACAGAGGAGCACAGAUACUCCUGCACAUGGGAGUUGCGGUAGAAUUGAAGCCACCGGAGAAAACCCAGUUUGGGAAAUGGAAGAUAUGCCCUUUGCGAGAAUCAUGGGUGAUAUGGUGAUGUUACCAACCGGAGAAAUUCUUAUCAUUAAUGGAGCUCAAGCAGGAACACAAGGCUUUGAAAUGGCGUCAAAUCCUUGUUUGAACCCAGUUUUAUACAGACCAGAUGAACCUUUAGGACUCCGAUUCAUGACUUUGAAUCCCGGUACAAUUCCAAGAAUGUAUCACUCCACAGCCAAUUUGCUUCCGGACGGUCGGAUCUUGCUCGCCGGAAGCAACCCACAUUUUUUUUACAAGUUCGGGGUGGAAUUCCCGACGGAAUUAAGGAUCGAAGCAUUUUCUCCGGAGUAUUUAUCAGCAGACAGAGCAAACCUCCGACCAGUUCUGGUAGAAUUGCCGGAAAAGCUCAAAUACGGUGAGGAUUUUGGGGUGGCAGUGACGGUGGAGCUGCCGGUGGUUGGCAUUAUUGAGGUGAAUAUAGCGAGUGCUCCAUUUUCAACACAUUCGUUUUCACAGGGGCAAAGGCUUGUGAAAUUGAAAGUAACGAGCGCUAUUCCCGAUGAUGCCGGUAAAUAUAGGAUCGGAUGUACAGCACCGCCGGACGGGAAGGUGGCGCCGCCGGGAUAUUACAUGGUAUUUGCUGUAAACCAAGGAGUGCCAGGUGUAGCACGAUGGGUCCAGAUAGUUGUUUGAAA
RNAcentral lists this unclassified non-coding RNA (1340 nucleotides) under Hevea brasiliensis (rubber tree). Lineage: Eukaryota; Viridiplantae; Streptophyta; Magnoliopsida; Malpighiales; Euphorbiaceae. The record is from RNAcentral.